Long non-coding RNA from Culex quinquefasciatus (southern house mosquito), 1507 nucleotides. RefSeq lists it as uncharacterized. The transcript has 5 exons. Lineage: Eukaryota; Metazoa; Arthropoda; Insecta; Diptera; Culicidae. The record is from RefSeq and is a predicted model, not a curated record.
CUCGUUCCGCGUUUUUUUGUGUUGCUUGUUCCGAGUGCCGCUACCGUUGCCGUGUCCGUGUUCCAUGUUCGGAGUGUCCGUUUAUGUGUUUCUAGUGAAGUGGUGAAGUGUCUAGGAGUGAACUCUCGCGAUUAUUUUGGUGGUCUCGUGCGGGGAAAAAGAAGAGGCGAAGAGGAGGACGGUCAACACAGCCGUGACGUUGGACGAGUUCAAGAACAGCUGGAGAGUCCAUCGGCGACGGACGACCACCUCGGGCUGCUGUAGAACCUGCCGGAAGAGGUGAGGAGGACGACGGUCCGAACAUCCGGGACGUUGGACGAGUUCAAGAACAGCUGGAGAGUCCAUCGGAGACGGACGACCACCUCGGGCUGCUGUUGAACCUGCCGGAAGAGGUGAGAAGGACGACAGUCCGAACAUCCGGGACGUUGGACGAGUUCAAGAACAGCUGGAGAGUCCAUCGGCGACGGACGACCACCUCGGGCUGCUGAUGAACCUGCCGGAAGAGGCGAAUAGGAGGACGGUCAACACAGCCGGGACCGUGGCCAAGUUCAAGAACCUAUUCCAAGAACAUCUCCUUGGCCCCCUCGAAAAACUGAACCUGCCGGAAAAGGCGAGGAGGACGGUCCAAACAUCCGGGACGUUGGACGAGUUCAAGAACAGCUGGAGUGUCCAUCGGCGACGGACGACCACCUCGGGCUGCUGUUGAACCUGCCGGAAGAGGUGGGGAGGACGACGGUCCGAACAUCCGGGACGUUGGACGAGUUCAAGAACAGCUGGAGAGUCCAUCGGCGACGGACGACCACCUCGGGCUGCUGUUGAACCUGCCGGAAGAGGUGAGGAGGACGACGGUCCGAACAUCCGGGACGUUGGACGAGUUCAAGAACAGCUGGAGAGUCCAUCGGAGACGGACGACCACAUCGAGCUGCUGUUGAACCUGCCGGAAGAGGUGGGGAGGACGGCGGUCCGAACAUCCGGGACGUUGGACGAGUUCAAGAACAGCUGGAGAGUCCAUCGGAGACGGACGACCACCUCGGGCUGCUGUUGAACCUGCCGGAAGAGGUGGGGAGGACGACGGUCCGAACAUCCGGGACGUUGGACGAGUUCAAGAACAGCUGGAGAGUCCAUCGGCGAAGGACGACCACCUCGGGCUGCUGAUGAACCUGCCGGAAGAGGCGAAUAGGAGGACGGUCAACACAGCCGGGACCGUGGCCAAGUUCAAGAACCUAUUCUAAAUCCGAUUCCAAGAUUAUCUCCUUGGCCCCCUCGAAAAGCUGAACCUGCCGGAAGAGGUGAGGAGGAGGAACAUCCAGGACGUUGGACGAGUUCUAGAAUAGCUGGAGAGUCCAAUGGCGACGGACGACCGCUCGGGCUGCUGCUGAACCUGCCGGAAGGGCGAGAAGGAGGACGGUCCGCACAGCCGGGAUUGACAUACUUGAGACUUUGCCGGAGACGGUUGACCACUUUCGGUUGUGGUUACUGAAUCCGCCGGAAAAAGCAAAGCCAAAGA